Molecule: ribosomal RNA, 253 nt
Filed under: uncultured bacterium
Lineage: Bacteria
Description: partial 16S ribosomal RNA
Rfam family: Bacterial small subunit ribosomal RNA
Source: RNAcentral
UACGUAGGGUGCAAGCGUUGUCCGGAAUUAUUGGGCGUAAAGAGCUCGUAGGCGGUCUGUCGCGUCUGCUGUGAAAACUCAGGGCUUAACCCUGAGCUUGCAGUGGGUACGGGCAGACUAGAGUGCGGUAGGGGAGACUGGAAUUCCUGGUGUAGCGGUGAAAUGCGUAGAUAUCUGGAGGAACACCGGUGGCGAAGGCGGCAUCCUGGACCGGCAUUGACGCUGAGGCGCGAAAGCCAGGGGAGCAAACGGG